GCCAUUAUGAUGGAUGUUUACAUCUCUUCAUUGAGAGCCAAUUAUCUCGCUUUUGUGUGAGGCCCAAGGAUCACUCAUGCUUCCAGGCUGCACAGAGCACUGUUGGAUCUAGCUGAACGAAUUGUUUUCUCUGUCUCUGUGCCUAGCAAAGAUCUGAAAUCUGUUAUCAACUAUCUGUCAAAUAAAUGAGCCAGAUUUAACACUAUUAUCCUGAGAGAGACAAAGUAAUCAACUAAACAUCCU
RNAcentral lists this long non-coding RNA (243 nucleotides) under Gorilla gorilla gorilla (western lowland gorilla). Its description in RNAcentral is "lncRNA (ENSGGOG00000044501.1)". The record is from RNAcentral. Lineage: Eukaryota; Metazoa; Chordata; Mammalia; Primates; Hominidae.